This 72-nucleotide transfer RNA is filed under the name Bigelowiella natans CCMP2755. RNAcentral describes it as "tRNA-Gly for anticodon UCC". It matches the Rfam family "tRNA". Rfam says of the family: Transfer RNA (tRNA) molecules are approximately 80 nucleotides in length. Their secondary structure includes four short double-helical elements and three loops (D, anti-codon, and T loops). The record is from RNAcentral. Lineage: Eukaryota; Cercozoa; Chlorarachniophyceae.
GCAACCAUGGUAUAGGGGUUAGCAUAUUUGCCUUCCAAGCAAAUGACCCGGGUUCGAGUCCCGGUGGUUGCA